This 502-nucleotide ribosomal RNA is filed under the name uncultured bacterium. RNAcentral describes it as "partial 16S ribosomal RNA". It matches the Rfam family "Bacterial small subunit ribosomal RNA", at positions 28 to 507 of the family's 1533-position model. The record is from RNAcentral.
GACGAACGCUGGCGGCGUGCCUAAUACAUGCAAGUCGAACGAACCGCGACUAGGUGCUUGCACUUGGUCAAGGUGAGUGGCGAACGGGUGAGUAACACGUGGGUAACCUACCUCAUAGUGGGGGAUAACAGUCGGAAACGACUGCUAAUACCGCCUAGGACAUAGGAUCACAUGAUCCAGUGAGGAAAGGUGGCGCAAGCUAUCGCUAAGAGAUGGACCCGCGGUGCAUUAGCUAGUUGGUAGGGUAAAGGCCUACCAAGGCGAUGAUGCAUAGCCGACCUGAGAGGGUGAUCGGCCACAUUGGGACUGAGCCACGGCCCAAACUCCUACGGGAGGCAGCAGUAGGGAAUCUUCCGCAAUGGACGCAAGUCUGACGGAGCAACGCCGCGUGAGUGAAGAAGGUCUUCGGAUCGUAAAGCUCUGUUGUUAGAGAAGAACAGCGCAUAGAGUAACUGUUAUGCGUGUGACGGUAUCUAACCAGAAAGCCACGGCUAACUACGUG